UUCGACCCUGCUGCCAUUGAUUAUGAUUUGUUCAAUAAGAGGAAGAAAAGUAAAACAGCUGUUACUGAACAGAAACUGCAAGAUGAAUUGACAGAAGACAAACAAAAACAUUUAUUAACUUUUGAAAACAAUCUUUCAAAGGAUCUUCUGGAUGAAUUUAGGAGUGCUUGGUUAAAUAAGACGUGGCCUAAGGACCUACAAAUGAGAGGCUUGUUUGAAUACUGGCUUGAUAUCAGUAGAAAACCUGGUUUUCAUUAAAAAAAUAAACCAACUGUCAAAGACGUGGCAGUGGUGAAUAUAAAUUUAAGUAAACUGAGACAAGAACAGUCUGUAGAAAAUUUGAAUAGUGAUCAAGCUUCUACGGAUAAUGAUUUCAAUCUCAACGAUCAUGAUCAUUUUUCUAAGGAAGAGUUUCCUUCACUGAUAAAUAAUCAUGUAUUGGACAAAGCAUCAGCUCCUGAGAUAUUAUAUGAAUUUGUAGUAGAAAAUGGUCAUGUAAAACUAGUCUCUCAAACUCAGACAGGUACAGAUGAAAAUUGCAAUUCAAAUUUGUUAGAGUUUGCUGAUGUUCUAAAAGAUAAUAACAUUCCAACACAAAGUUCAGAGAAAAUUGAAACAGAAAUUUGUGAUGAAUUAAUAUUCAAUUCAAAUGUGUUGGAUAUUAAUAAUCAAACAGAAGUUAAUGCUGAUGCUGGGAAUCCUUUUGACAACGCUUUUACACUUCCAACAAAUUAUGUACAGAAGAAAAAAAGAAGAAAAGUAGAAUCGUCAAGUAAAACCAAAA
This is a long non-coding RNA of Belonocnema kinseyi, 784 nucleotides long. RefSeq lists it as uncharacterized. Lineage: Eukaryota; Metazoa; Arthropoda; Insecta; Hymenoptera; Cynipidae. The transcript has 3 exons. The record is from RefSeq and is a predicted model, not a curated record.